UACGUAGGGUGCGAGCGUUGUCCGGAAUUAUUGGGCGUAAAGAGCUCGUAGGCGGUCUGUUGCGUCAGGAGUGAAAACUCGGGGCUUAACCCCGAGCCUGCUUCUGAUACGGGCAGACUAGAGGUAUGCAGGGGAGAACGGAAUUCCUGGUGUAGCGGUGAAAUGCGCAGAUAUCAGGAGGAACACCGGUGGCGAAGGCGGUUCUCUGGGCAUUACCUGACGCUGAGGAGCGAAAGUGUGGGGAGCGAACAGG
RNAcentral lists this ribosomal RNA (253 nucleotides) under uncultured bacterium. RNAcentral describes it as "partial 16S ribosomal RNA". It matches the Rfam family "Bacterial small subunit ribosomal RNA", at positions 524 to 776 of the family's 1533-position model. The record is from RNAcentral.